Amphimedon queenslandica is the source of this 448-nucleotide long non-coding RNA. RefSeq lists it as uncharacterized. The record is from RefSeq and is a predicted model, not a curated record. The transcript is spliced from 3 exons. Lineage: Eukaryota; Metazoa; Porifera; Demospongiae; Haplosclerida; Niphatidae.
GCAGCGGGCUACAUCAAUUGAUGUCAGUAUGUAUAUAUCACUAGCUUUACUGUGACAAGAAAGGAAAUGACAAAACUAUAAGACAACCUCUUUAAGAUGACCGAACAUAAGAAGAGCAGAUUGAAUAACAACCAACACCAACAAGGAGUUACUUACCACGCUUUAACAGCAUUGAUAGAAAUUGAGCUGUUUCUGGGCAAAAUGGAAGUGUUAAUUUUACUCUAAAAAUUUGCUAAAACAUUGUGUGUAGUUUUUUUAUAUUUCUGUUUUUAAUCAGUGGCUACAGUAGGUGUGGUAAUAAGUUCUGUGAUUUCACAAGUGACAAAUCAGUACUGACUCAGAAAAUUACUACUGAGAUGCAUGGAUAGAGUAAAUAUGUCAAUAGUAAAUGUAAAUACUGUAAAUAUAAAAUAUGUUUAUUGCUAGUAUCCUGGGAAGCCAUAAGAUG